This 1136-nucleotide unclassified non-coding RNA is filed under the name Caenorhabditis elegans. RNAcentral describes it as "Non-coding transcript of protein-coding gene nhr-50". Lineage: Eukaryota; Metazoa; Nematoda; Chromadorea; Rhabditida; Rhabditidae. The record is from RNAcentral.
AUGGCUUGCCAAGUGUGUGGCUGUUCAGACGUAGAACCCCAUUUUGGAGCACUGUCAUGUAGAGCAUGUGCCGCAUUUUUCCGCAGAUAUUUCCACUCGAAAAAAGUUGUUGGCCAGUGCAAUUGUGCUGUAAGAUUCCGGAAUAGUCAUCCGUGUAGGGAGUGUAGGAUUAAGAAGUGCUUAUCGAUUGGGAUGAAUCCAGAGAAAGUCCAAGAAAAACGAGAACGUCAUCCCCCGAAAAAGAACAAACCUCCAAGCAUAUCAGAAGCCUUAACUUCAAGCUCUUCAACACCACCAUCCCUCCCGAUUUCCCAACUACCUGUAAAUUAUUCAUGGUUCUCCAAAACAUGAAUUAAAAAAAUGAAAAAUUUUUCCAGUCAAGAAUAAUUCCUCGCGACUGCUCAUCAAUUACUCUAACUGCUUUUAACUGGCAAAAAUGUCAGCCAAAGCGAAAUUAUAUGACUCGAACAUUGGAUGAAACCAACUAUUAUCAGUUAUCGUGUUUUAAGAUAGAAGAUUGUAUGAUGAUUUGGAGAAUUGUUGAAGAUCUUUUUCCGUCUUUAACAUGGAAUUUAAGGAAGUUGGAUAAAGAAGCUCUUCUCCGAAACUUUCUUCCGAAGUGGUCAGUUUUAACAGCGGCUAUUGAUAUGGAAGUUAAAGUGCAAAGAUACUCAAAAGUCAACAAUACUGAAGAGUUUAAAAGAAUGAUUGUAGAUUUCUUUACAUAUUCAAUGCCAGAGAAGUUCAAAAUGCCACCGGAAGAUAUAUUGAAAGUGUUCGGACCCAUGAUAGUGUACUACGUAACAAAAAUUAUUCUUCCAAUUCAUGAAAAAGGCUUGGACCAGCCGGAAUUUAUGGCGUUGGCGCUGAUUAUUUUGUUCGAUGGAGCCUACUCCAACAUCUCCGUGGAGUGCUCCGAAAUGUGCCGAACAAUUCGCAACCUGAUAUUUCGAGAGCUCAAAAAUUAUCAAACCGACAAGAACUUUGAUGAAAUUCAGUUUGCCGAUACUGUCGACACCUUGAAUAUUGUGGAAAAAGGAGAGAAGAAGUUCUAUGAAGAGCUUUUGAUAUGUGAUAUGCACAAUGUGCACUUACACGAGGAUUAUAGAUUAUUGUUAAACGAGUUGAAUGGUUAA